Long non-coding RNA from Myotis lucifugus (little brown bat), 1018 nucleotides. RefSeq lists it as uncharacterized. The record is from RefSeq and is a predicted model, not a curated record. Lineage: Eukaryota; Metazoa; Chordata; Mammalia; Chiroptera; Vespertilionidae. The transcript has 2 exons.
AGCAAACACAGCAUCCCUGUGUCUGAAGAUGAUGCCACUGACAGACCUAUGACAGAGGCCUCUGGGUGACCGGUGACAGUGACACAAGGCACUCUGGCCACACCAUCUUGUGAGACCCGGUGUCCACCUGCGAGGGAAGAGGACUGGCCUCAGUCCAAGGACCAUGUGGACGCUUCAGAGGACCCAGGGGUAGCGCGGCUUUGACCUUGGCCUCGUCCAGCCAGCCCUCUCUGGGAUCCAGGGAGCACCUGCCCUCUGCAGAGCGCUGGAAGCGGGGACCUCAGGUUCCUCACCGGAGGGUGGGCCAACCCGGGAAGCCUGGGUGUGCGAGGUGACCCCGCCCAUUGAGUGACCCCGCCCACGUGGGGUCCAAGGCAGAUGCGGACUGUGGGCAGAGACUCGUCGGGGGAACCGGGUUGGCCGAACCGUCUGAGCCGCGUGGGGGGGCGGGGCGAGGCCUGUGGGGGCGGAGCCCCGGCGAGGAGGGCCGCCCCUGCGCCCCUGGGGGAGAUGGAUGCUCCGCAGGUCCGCGGGCGCCGGGGGCGGGGAAAGCGCCUGUGUAGCUGCUCCCUGGCCCCGCCCGGGAGCCGGCGGGAGGCGGGGCUGCCCCCUUCCUCCCACACGGGCGCGGGGCUGAGCCCGGAGCGGAGAAGCGGAGUCGGCUCUGAGCUCCCUGCUGGGUUUUAGGUGGCGGCAGGCGGAGGAGGAAUAUGGCGCUCGUAGGCAACGGAGCCGAGCUGGAAGCGGACGAGGUUUUCUUGGGAAUUACACAAGCAACAUUGACAUCAGGUUCAUGAAAGGUAGACAGAAAUUGUGCAAGGUCAAUACCACAAAUCUAUGGCAAAUAGAUGGCUCCGACUGGAGGACCACCAGUUGCUUGAUCUUGAAGUUGUAUCUCUCUUGGUGAACUCCUCAUUCUUAGGGGCUUUUGGCCGCCCUUCUUGCUAUGUUUGGCUCUCUGUGCUUUUGUGUGAUUUUGGAUUUGAGAAUUAAAUAAAAAUAGUUUGUUUACAUUUUA